Small nucleolar RNA from Dioscorea cayenensis subsp. rotundata (Guinea yam), 107 nucleotides. The record is from RefSeq and is a predicted model, not a curated record. Lineage: Eukaryota; Viridiplantae; Streptophyta; Magnoliopsida; Dioscoreales; Dioscoreaceae.
AUCCCACAUUAAAGACAGUUCCUUAACAAUUUCUUUUACCAUUCACAUGCUUCGUACAAGGUUUCGAACUCCAUCUAUCUGAAAGAAGAUAUAUCAUUUCUGAGCUU